UGAGGAAUUUUCGUCAAUGGGGGAAACCCUGAACGAGCAACGCCGCGUGCAGGAAGAAGGUUUUCGGAUCGUAAACUGCUUUUCUCGGGGAAGAGAACGGACGGUACCCGAGGAAUAAGCCCCGGCUAACUACGUGCCAGCAGCCGCGGUAAUACGUAGGGGGCAAGCGUUGUCCGGAUUUAUUGGGCGUAAAGCGCACGCAGGCGGUCUCUUAAGUUUUGAGUGACAGGUGGUGGCUCAACUACCACAGGCCUUGGAAAACUGGGAGACUUGAGGACUUCAGAGGGAUGCGGAAUUCCAGGUGGAGCGGUGAAAUGCGUAGAGAUCUGGAAGAACACCAAAGGCGAAGGCAGCAUUCUGGGAAGUAACUGACGCUCAUGUGCGAAAGCUAGGGGAGCGAACGGGAUUAGAUACCCCUGUAGUCC
This 425-nucleotide ribosomal RNA is filed under the name uncultured bacterium. RNAcentral's name for it is "bacterial SSU rRNA". It matches the Rfam family "Bacterial small subunit ribosomal RNA", at positions 355 to 796 of the family's 1533-position model. The record is from RNAcentral.